GGAUGAUCAGCCAACAAGCAUCGCCAACAAGCAUGGCUCCCGCACGCUAGAAGUGGGAUGGGUUUCACUAUAAACUUUUAAGUGCUCAUGAAUAAACUGUUCAAAGUUCAUUAGUUUGCAAGAUAAUAAACAUAGAUGCUUCAAACCCUCUCGGCAAUUGCAACUGAAGGAUCUUCUAUGAUUUGCAAGGAUGACACAACCUUGUCGGCAAUUGCAUUCGAAGAUUCUCGUUUGAUUUCCAAGAAGAAGGCUUUCAGUUGUCCAGGCCAGGCCAGGUGACCAUUGACGAUGAUAGAUCGGGUUCGAUUCAAGCUAUACGCUUGGUGUAUUUGGUUAUCGUGACCGGCGACUUGAGUCUAUCUCAUCUCUCGUCCAAAGCGCGGUGGCUGGGUCCCAGGCAUGCUUGCCACUUUGUUCCACGGUCCACAUCUAAGUUUCGACGGUGAUGACAUGGACUUAGGUUCAAGGAACGUGAUCCCCUUGAGUCAUUGUGGUUGAUUGAUGGGGGCAAUAGACGGUUGCGUGUCGCUAGUCAUUCAAUUGGUCCCCUUGUUUUAGAGUGUUGGCGGGAUAAGUCUUACGACUGUUAACAAUAGUAAGCAAUAGCUGGCCAGCGAUCCCCUACCUGAUCUCGAGGGGGAUGGAAUGACUGGGGAAUAGGCCUGUUGUUAACCUGCGGAAUUUCGUCGGACGAAAUGUCAGGCGUGUCCGUGUGGGACUUGUGCUAAACCAGUUUAGUACAUAUGACGAAGACAUUGGGCUCUUUGAAUAACAACAGUGUCCUUGACCUCCUUGUGCCUCACAAAGCUAAUAAUAUACACCCCCUGAAAUCGACAAGACGGCGAUGAAGAAGGAGAGCCGGCCUCCAGCUUGUCAGCCGAGAAGACACUGGAUGGACCCCAAGGAUAUGUUGCUGCCAAUGUUAGAGCCAUACAGGGCAGCCCGAGCCAACAUUGUACAAGGGCCACAAGGACAAGGGACACAAGGACAAGGGACACAAGGAUAAGGGACACAAAAGACGAUGUUGCAGUCUACAGGGCUAUGCAGAUGACUGGAGAUGAUGGCUGUUGAGUUGACCCAAUGACUUCCACCACGAUCUACGAUGCGUACUGAAGCAAGAACGACUCUCAAAGACCCAGAAAGCAACAGAUUCCAACACUUCGCCCCAUGAUAAGAUGCCUUCAUACCCAUCCAUCGACAAUUUGGGGAAGACAGCCUUAUUGACCUUCAUGGGGAUCUUCCUGGCAGAUGUUGUAUGAGGAAGGAUUCAAAGCGUAUACACCAUGCUUGGAUGAGGGCCUGAGAGUCGUGUAGAUUCAAUGGAUGGAAUCGUCUCGCUCAGGGAUAUCGGCGGUGGACACUUACAUCGUGUGUCAUUCGAAUAGACUUUAAUGACAAUCGAAAUGAUGCUCUAAGGGGACUCUGAUGACUCUAAGGACAUAGAGCCCUUCUCGUUAUGUAAUGUGACGCCAUAUCAAGCAGCCACCAUGGAGCCAGCUCAUCUCUUACAUAUGGAAGGAUGCCAUCUCAUAAGGAGAUGAGCCAUCCCACAGAAGGGAGGAGGAUGUUGCUAAGCCAGCACAUCUCUACCAUGCUCCCGUCGCCGUCAAGGAGUUUUGUCACCAUAGGCCUUACCCUUUUAUUGCAAUAUCUGAUUGAAAGGUGAUUUGAUAAAAAUCCUGAUAAUUUAUUUUCUGAUUGCGAUAAGGCAAUUAUUUGCCUUCUUUCGGGCAAUGACAAACUCUUGCCAUGGCUCAAAAUCGUAUAAUUUUAAAGAAGAGUUAAGAAAAUGAAGGGAGGGUGUAAUAAGGUAACCAGGGGGAACCAGGGCCUGUCACAAGCCCAGAAAUUAUUUUCAAGCAAGAUUGAUAAGGAAAAUCAAAUUGUGGAGGGGAUGAUCUGGCUAACAGGACAGCCAACUGGGUAUUACUUGGCACCCAAACAAAACAUUCACAAUAGCCUAGGGUAAGGUACUUUGGGACCCUACCCGCUGCUUCAGAUUUGUUUCAAGGAAAAAAUAUCUUUCUGCUUUAAAAAUCACCUAAUUCAUCAGAUAUUGUAUUUGAUUAUGUCCAUCACAUGAGACAUGGGGUUCACAUGACAAUCGCUUUGCUCUAACCCCAGGCAAAGCGAAUGAACAUGUGUGUCUUGAUGGAACUGUAGGCCUUUUUACUGUUUCUUGAUCUCUUCAGUACCACAGAAUCCACUGGCAUUUAAACACCACCUGGGCCCAGGCGCCAAAGAUCCUUUGUAUCAUUGGCUGGCUCAGUUGCUCAGUGUCUUUCAUACUUUCAUACUAGAGACAACUGACCAACAACACAAAUUUAGUGAAUUUUUAUUUCCUCGUCACUUUUUAAUCAAUACCCGUGAACAAAAAAAUCUCGGGAUACAAAACAUCUUUUCACCAAUUUAACUGAUAAGCUUUAUAAAUAAAACAAUUGUUUUAAAAUAGUCAAUAUUAAGAUAUUAAACUAUUAAAAUAGAAAUGUGUCAAUAAAACUAUUGUUUUAUUGAAACUUAUCAGAAAAAGACUGGUUCUUGAUCCUACCUAUAGCGGUCUCACAGGAAAGAAUCUUAGCCUUUUUCUUUGUUUCGAUUCAAGAAGACUUUCAUUGCAAGAGCAUAAUUAUCAUGUUCUGCAGGUUAUGAAAGAUAUCAUUUUGCCCCAUCAAGAACAUUUUUAUUGGACUUGGUACUGAAUGAUUUGAGAAAAGUGUAACGUCAACUUGUAAGACGUUUUAUAUUGUCAUAUACAUGUAUGUUUGUAAUUAUAUUUGUAAUGCAUGUAAAUCUUGUAAGUAAAAUAAAAGAGAUCUAAGACUCAACUUGAAAAAAAACCCUGGCAGACCAACAUCCAGUCUUGCCAGUUCAAAGCUACCUCUUUUGUCAUACAAAUACAUGUCACCUCUGCUCCUUUUGUCAUGCUAAUUGGCAGUUCCUGGCCAUGAGAAAUGUGGUUCUUUUGUUAUUCAAAUUGGACCCUAAACCUGUUUAGUCAUGGAUUAAUGAGAGCAGUGACCUAACCUAUUGUUCGCUGAACAUGGCUCUCCUGAAGUCAUACACAAUAGGUUUUAAUACAUGUACAAUAGCUAAAAGUUGUAUAGAAUGUAUAGGGACAUAAUAAAUGUAUGCAGAGGUUAAGUACCAGCUCAUUGUUGGAAUUAUUGAGUCAUCUCCUGUAAGAUCUCUAUUCAGCAGUGUCUUUUUUGGACAUUUUAAAGGAGGAGAACAUGUGUGAUAGUACAAUUAUCUCCAUGUCUCGUCCUUUAAUGGGCGUUGGAGUGGCACAGUGACUAUGAUCGAUGUAAUGUACAUGUAUGAAGUCAUUAUGGUCGGAAGCGCUGUGCCUGUCACCUGUGUGAUGGAGUUUACGACUCACUCUAAUUGCGUAGGUUUUCUCCCGUUGAAACGGUUUUCCUCCUACUUUUCGAGUUGCCAUGUGAGAAUAAUUCUUGGAAUGUGCAACAAUAAAUAAUUGUCAAA
Long non-coding RNA from Lineus longissimus, 3483 nucleotides. RefSeq lists it as uncharacterized. NCBI's taxonomy places the organism in Eukaryota, Metazoa, Nemertea, Pilidiophora, Heteronemertea, Lineidae. The record is from RefSeq and is a predicted model, not a curated record. The transcript is spliced from 8 exons.